This 5225-nucleotide long non-coding RNA is filed under the name Sus scrofa (pig). RNAcentral describes it as "lncRNA (ENSSSCG00030036345.1)". Lineage: Eukaryota; Metazoa; Chordata; Mammalia; Artiodactyla; Suidae. The record is from RNAcentral.
CUGAGUCUCAACAGGAACUCCCACGGGUGAACUCCUGAUUUACCCUUUCUGCUCUCCUCCCUCUCCUGUCUCCCUGCACUCCUCUGCAGCUGGGAGACGGGCAGGCAGCCGUGUGUACUCCUGGGCAGCACCUGGACUCUCAGACCAGGAGCUGGCAUUCAGCGACCUGGCUGAGGCACAAUGUGGAAAUGGAAAGAUAAAAACCCGAGAUGUGUGAUGAGGGCUGUAGUUUGGAAUAAAUGGGUUCAGGCCCUCUGCCCAGUCAGCCUAGCCCUCUGGCGGCUGCUGCAUUUAAUGGACAACUCCAUUAGCAUUUCCUUGGAUAGGUGGGAGGAGAGUGAGAGAGAAAAGGGCGGGUGCUGAGAUAGGGAAGGAGGGCAAGGAUGUGGGGAGAUGAAAGAGAGGUGAGUGUGUGUGUGUGUGUGUUGGGAGAAACUAAAAAAACUUGGCGCUUUCCUCCAUGACCCCUGGGGGACCUUUGUGUGGCUCCCUUGGUCCAUGUGCUCUGUCAGGCUUUGACAGCUGAGGUGGACCUCGGGAGGGUAGCGGUUUGGAGAGGGUAGAAUGAGGGCUCAACCUCUCUCCUGCUCAUCCCCACAGGAUAAGGAGAAUGAGAAGGCAUAUAUCCUUUCCCCCUUGUAAUGAAGAAAUUGUAGGUCCUGGAAUUCAGAAGGUGAAAACAUGGGGGAUUUGGGGUGCUUCUGAUCCUGUGGUAAUGCUUGUCGAUGAGGACAGGGGAAAGGAGAAGUGAAGUGAGUCCCAGGAUUCAGAAGCUGCGUCAUGAGUGAGAAGAAACUGGUUCCCACUGCAGGAGGAGAGGAGGCACAGGUCUUAAAAGGCAAACAAAGGCGGCAGACACCCAUCGUCUGCCUGAGCACGCUUACCUUCAGGCUGUCUCUAGAGGCUGGAGAUGCCUGUUACUGUGGCUAAUGAAUGAGACUCAAAACCUCUCUGAUAAUUACGGUGCCCGAGACUUUCUGAAUCCCUGGCAUGUGGGGACCAUGAGAGAUAGUAAUGAGAAACCACAUUUCCACUGAGGGGUUUUCGAUCUUAGUAUCUUCCCCUUCUAGCCUUUUAGCUGCUGUCAGACCACAUCAGGGCAGCAUAUUGAACCCAGCCAUAUCACAGCUGCUGUGGAUCUCCCCAGAGUGUGUGACACAAGUGGGAAGAGCAGCUCUGAUCCAAGACUUCACUCCUGGCUUCCCUCGGUGCCCUUGACAGCUCACUGCCUCUCGAAAGUCACUCUCAGGGGUUCCCUGGUUGCCUAGCAGUUAAAGAUCUGGUGUUGUCACUGCUGUGGCACCGGUUCAAUCCCUGACCUGGGAAUUUCUGCAAGCUACAUGCAUGGCCGAAAAAAAGUCACAUCCAGAAGCAAAGCUUCUACCCACAAAUCCACAGAAUUGAGCAUGACCUGCUCAGAGACAUGUUCUCAGUCAGACUAAGAUGGUGAUUCUUGGAGUUCCCCUUGUGGCUCAUCAAGUUAUGAACCCAACUAGUAUCCAUGAAGAUGCGGGUUCAAUCCCUGGCCUUGCUGUGGGUUAAGAAUCCAGCAUUGCCAUGAGCUGUAGUGGAGGUCACAGAUGGAUCUGGCGUUGCUGUGUCUGUGGUGUAGACAAGCAGCUGUAGCUCCGAUUUGACCCCUAGCCUUGGAACCUCCAUAGGCUAUGGGUGUGCCCCCCCCCCAAGCAAGGAAAAAAAAGACUGUGAUUCUUGAGUCUGUGGGCCUGACCCUGAGUGCUAGGUUGAGGUGGAGGCCAGCCGGAAGGGUAUGAUGAACGGGCCCCUGACUUAGAGGUCAAAAGUGCUGGGUUUCUGGUCCCGUUUCUGCCCUAUGUAGCUGUAUGACCUUGAGCUAUUACUUGAGUUCUUCAAGCUUUAGUUUUUCAUCUGUAAAAUGGGAAUAAGAAUAUCUUCCUCAGAGAGCUAUUGUCCAAAUCCGGUAAUAUACCAAAAGCACUUUGUAAACGUUCUUUUGUGGCGCAGUGGGUUAAGGAUCUGGCAUUGUCACUGCAGCAGCUGCUGGAUCACUGCCGUGGUGUAGGUUCAGUCCCUGGCCCAGGAACUUCCACAUGCCAUGGGUGCGGCCAAAAAUAACCCCCCCAAAAAACAAAUAGCACUUUGUGAACUGCCGUCCUAGUGGGAAGGAGUUAUUUGCCAUUCCAUCACACUGUCUUCCAAAUCCCACAGCUGUGUGAGAGCCCUCGGCUUGAAGACAAGCACCUGGGAAGGUAUGUCUGUGGGGAGUGCCAGGCGGUGUGGAGGGAGAGUGAAAGACGUGGUGAAGGGGUGGCCCCUGUCAUCACGGAGGAUUUGACACGAGCUCUUCCACAGUUAAGAGUCUGUACACACUUACUGAGUUGAUAGCAGUGGCAUAAUAAGAAAUACAUAUUUGACCUUUGUCUCCAGUUUCUGACAAAGAGCUAAAACCCUUAAAAUUUUCAGGGCGAUAGAAACCUGUUUUGUUCUCAUGAAGUUACCCUUGGCAGGAUUCUAGGUAGCUUCAGGGUAGGGGCUGGUCACCAGAAAGAUUAAGCUUUGACUGGAAGCCUAGAGAUUGCUUGCUUGCUUUUUUCUUUCCUUUUCAGGGCCAUACCCUCGGCAUGUGGCCAUUCCCAGGCUAGGGGUCAAAUCGGAGUUACAGCUGCCAGCCUACACCACAGCCACAGCCACAGCCACUCAGGAUCCAAGCCGUGUCUGUGACCUACACCACAACUCACAGCAAUGCCAGAUCCCCGACCCACUGAGCAAGGCCAGGGAUCGAACCACAUCCUCAGGGAUACUAGUGGGAUUUGUUUCUGCUGCGCCAAAACGGCAACUCCUAGAAGCCUAGAACUUUCACCUCACUCACCCUACCCUCUGAGGAGGGGAGAGGGGCUGGAGAUUGAGUAAAUAGUCUAUUAUGCCUAUGUGAUGAAACCUCCAUAAAAGCCCCCAAAUGACAAAGUUCCAAGAGCUUUCAGUUUUCUUUCGUCUUUUUUUUUUUUUUUUUUGCUAUUUCUUUGGGCCGCUUCUGCAGCAUAUGGAGGUUCCCAGGCUAGGGGUCGAAUCGGAGCUGUAGCCGCUGGCCUAUGCCAGAGCCACAGCAACACGGGAUCCGAGCCGCGUCUGCAACCUACACCACAGCUCACGGCAACGCCGGAUCGUUAACCCACUGAGCAAGGGCAGGGACCGAACCCGCAGCCUCAUGGUUCCUAGUCGGACUCGUUAACCACUGUGCCACGACGGGAACUCCAUCUUUUCAGCUUUCACUCCUGGCAUUAAUCAUUUGGGCCUAUGUUCCAGUCCUAAUUCCCCAAAGAGAAUCUGACUCUUUGCUUUUUCAUACCAGGCCUCCCCAGCUUGUCUCACUUCAGAGCUAUGGUUGAAGGGCCUGGGCCCUCAUCAUAGGACACUUGGCUGCAUAAGAUAAAAAGAGUCGCUCACAUGUAUUGAGGGAUUACUAUGUACUAGGCACAGUGUUAAGUGCUCUUCAGGGCUUAUCUUGCUAAUAUAAUCCUCCAAACAACCCCACUGCAGUCAGUUCUAAUAUUUUCCUCAUUGUGUAGAUAAGGAAACUGAAGUGCAGAGAGCCUGGAUAACUAUUAAGUGGUAGAGCUCGGGUUUGAACCCAGCAGGCUGGCUGUAGGGCCAGAGCUUAUAAGCAUCUGCUAUACUGCUUUUGAGGUGAGGCUGUGGGUGAAGUUACACACCUUUAAGCAAGGGUGGUAGGCAUGCAGGCAAGGUGCUCUCCAUGUGUAGUCCAGAUACCCUACAGGAGGCCUGGCAAACAAGUUUGAUUCCAGAAUCUUCCAGCUGACUUGUGAGUACUACUUUAGGAGCCGUGGAUGGGUGCGGUGUGAAAAAGGCUCCAGUGCCAUGUAACAUUGAUAAACAUUGUGUGUGUGUGUGUGUGUGUGUGUGUGUGUGUGUGUGUGUGAGAGAGAGAGAGAGAGAGAGAGAGAGGGAGAGAGAGAGGGAGAGGGAGAGAGAGAUGGCCUCCUUGAGAUAUUGUAGUAAAGAAAUUGCUUUGGAGUUCCUGUUGUGGCGCAGCGGAAACGAAUCCGACUAGGAACCAUGAGGUUGCGGGUUUGGUCCCUGGCCUCACUCAGUGGGGUUAAGGAUCUGGCGUUGCUGUGAGCUGUGGCGUGGGUCACAGACGCAGCUCGGAUCCCGAGUGGCUCUGGCUGUGGUGUAGGCCGGCAGCUACAGCUCUGAUUCGAUGCCUAGUCUGGGAACCUCCAUAUGCCACGGGUGCGGCCCUAAAAAAGACAAAAGACAAAAAAAAAAAAAAAAAAAAAAAAAAAAAAAGAAAAAAGAAAAGAAAUCGCUUUGCCUUUGGUUGAGUCUGGAGUUUCCCAAAGUGAUCUGAGCAGAUAACUCAUUGAUUUUUCUUUGCCAGAUGACUGCAAAUAUGCAGUGGAGCCCUGCUGUGCUGUUCUAGGAUUACCGGUUUAGGAAAUACUCUCCUAGACUUACUUUCCACCCCCACCACUGAGCCCCUCGAAGUAACAGCUGCACUAAGCCUGGCAGCUAAGAUUGCUGCCGAGAGCCGAGUGCUCAGUGGCCGGUCAGCUCAGAUGGCCCCCACAGGAUGCUGAUUAACCAGGGUCAGGCAGAGGCUGACGUUUCCUAGGCUGCAUGAAGAAGCCAUCCAACAGAGUUGGGUGGUUUAUUUCUUGUUUUCAUUUCCCCUUGUCACGGCCCUCGUCUGGACCCUUUGCAUGUCAAGUCUGGACUGUCAAAACAGCCUCCUGACUAGUCUCCCUGCCAGCUGGCUCUCCCCUCCAAUCCAUCCUGCACACCUGACCAGAUCUGUUUUCCUAAAAUGCUGCUGCGAGCUUGCCACUCUCCUGUCCCAAAUAUUAAUUCAGCUUUCAAGACGGUCCUGGAUGGCCCCAGCUUACCUGCUCUGUUUCCUCCUCACACCCUACAUUCUAGAUGAAGCCGAAUCAUUCGUGCCCCCUUGUGCCCUGCGCGUGCUGCUUCCUCCAGCCCGCGCUUCAGCAGCUCCAUCCCACUUCCCUGUUUUCUCAUGUCAGAGUCGUGUGUUCUCCUUUGUUCACCUAUCCAUCCAAUAAGGAUUUAUUUUGCGCCUUCUGUUUGCCAGGUCCUGUGCUAGAGAAGACACAGUCCUUAACUUCAAGGAGGUAAUAAAAACAGAUAAACACACACAGGGUGUGUGUGCAGUACGACAGAGUGAUGCUCAGGCUUCCAUGGGCAAGGACACAUAUCCCUGCCUGAGGCAC